Long non-coding RNA from Bos taurus (domestic cattle), 814 nucleotides. Lineage: Eukaryota; Metazoa; Chordata; Mammalia; Artiodactyla; Bovidae. The record is from Ensembl.
AGAAUAACCAUCGAGUUAUUGGACUUUGAGCUAAGAUGAAUGUUUAAAUCCUGAGGACUAGGCGCUAAAUAACAGCUGACGCAGGUGCUACGCAGAAGUGGAUUCAGUGAAGCUAGGAAGACAGGAGCGGCAGACAGGAUUCGGAGCCAGUGUUGGUGAAAACUAGGACUGAGGAGCCAGCGGCAGUUCGUGAAGAUAGGAAAGAGAAGCCCGGGAGCCAGUGCGACUUGGUGAAGGAAGCUAGGAAGAAGGAGCGAGUCCUAACGAUUUGGAGGUGAAGCUAGGAGAGGAUUCCAGGAAGGAGGAAGCCAGUGCGGUGUGGUGAAGCUAGCGUGCGGCUUGGCUUGGCAACCACGCGGAGGCGGCGAGCAGGCGGAGUGGAGGAUAGAUAGAGGAUCCUAGAGCAGCAGACCAGUGUACGAGCCCCGCAGGGAGAGCCAGUGGUGUGGUAAAAAUCCGUGAAGUCGGCACUAUCGUGGGUUUUUUUUCCUCCUGUAACUCAGUAUGGUGAUUUAAUAAAACUUAAUACUACUAUAGGAGCUUCAGAGCAAAGGAGGUGGCUUAAUGAUCCUGAAGGGAUUUCUUCUGGUGGUAGCUUUUGUAUUAUCAAGUAAGAUUCUUUUUUCGGCUGUAUAUAAGCAAGAUUGUUUGGUUUAUUCUUUUCUUUUUAGCGUAGGAAAAGUUUGUUGUUAAGGUAUGCUUCAAAAUUAUUGUUAAUUGUAUUUUGAAUUUACAUCUAAGCCUUGUAAAUCAUAACUGAUAAGAGGGGGUGGGCUUUUGUUGAUGAGGGAGGGGAAACCUUUUUUUUUUGUAG